CCCUUAGAUGUUCUGGGCCGCACGCGCGCUACACUGAUGCAUUCAACGAGUCUAAAACCUGGUCUGAUAGGGCUGGGUAAUCUUUUGAAUGUGCAUCGUGAUUGGGAUAGAUGAUUGCAAUUCUUCAUCUUCAACGAGGAAUGCCUAGUAAACGCAAGUCAUCAGCUUGCAUUGAUUACGUCCCUGCCCUUUGUACACACCGCCCGUCGCUCCUACCGAUUGAAUGUUCCGAUGAAUACCAUGGACUGAGAGUAUGAAUGGGUUCGCCUAUUUCUGCUUCUCGGGAAGUGGAGUAAAUCUUAACAUUUAGAGGGAGGAGAAGUCGUAACA
This 330-nucleotide ribosomal RNA is filed under the name uncultured eukaryote. RNAcentral describes it as "partial 18S ribosomal RNA". It matches the Rfam family "Eukaryotic small subunit ribosomal RNA", at positions 1470 to 1796 of the family's 1831-position model. The record is from RNAcentral.